This 254-nucleotide ribosomal RNA is filed under the name Vibrio parahaemolyticus. Its description in RNAcentral is "partial 23S ribosomal RNA". It matches the Rfam family "Bacterial large subunit ribosomal RNA", at positions 295 to 557 of the family's 2925-position model. The record is from RNAcentral. Lineage: Bacteria; Pseudomonadati; Pseudomonadota; Gammaproteobacteria; Vibrionales; Vibrionaceae.
AAAUUGGACUAGCCCUUAAGCUUUACACGCGUUAGACGAACGGUCUGGAAAGUCCGACGAUACAGGGUGAUAGUCCCGUAGUUGACGACGUGUGUUCAGUGAAAUCGAGUAGGGCGGGACACGUGAUAUCCUGUCUGAAUAUGGGGGGACCAUCCUCCAAGGCUAAAUACUACUGACUGACCGAUAGUGAACCAGUACCGUGAGGGAAAGGCGAAAAGAACCCCUGUGAGGGGAGUGAAAUAGAACCUGAAACC